GACGUAGGAGGCAAGCGUUAUCCAGAAUUACUGGGCGUAAAGCGCACGCAGGCGGUCUGUCAAGUUCGAGGUGACAGUCACCAGCUUCACUGGUGGAGUGCCUUGAAAACUGGCGAACUUGGGGGCCAGAGAGGGACAUGGAAUUCCGGGUGGAGUGGUGAAAUGCGUAGAGAUCCGGAGGAACACCGAAGGCGAAGGCAGUGUCCUGGCUGGUACCUGACGCUCAGGUGCGAAAGCUAGGGGAG
Molecule: ribosomal RNA, 245 nt
Filed under: uncultured bacterium
Lineage: Bacteria
Description: partial 16S ribosomal RNA
Rfam family: Bacterial small subunit ribosomal RNA
Source: RNAcentral